AGCACCAUCUUUCCUGCUCUCGGGCCACACUAUGGGACGUGAAGAACGUAUCACCGCAGCCACUGACCGCCGCACUGCGCCGGCGCGCUGACCCGCCCUCCCCGCGCAGGCGCGGCCGGAGGGCGCAGGCGCCCCCUCUCGGCCGGAAGAAGCUGUGUCGGAGACUGGGCCGCGGAUAGGAAGGGUAGAGACCCUUUAGUGCAUCUUUAUCUCCACGGAACCCAGCGCAAUGCCUUACACGUGGAUGAGGAAAUCGAGGCAUGGAAGUGAUUAGGAAACUUAACUAAUCGCACAAUUGAUCACAUAGUAAUAAGUCUGCUAAGUGCCAUAAGGAGAAAUACAAGAUGGUGCAAGGGUGUGUAUGUGACGGGAAUCUGUGGGGUCAGAGCCGGCGUCUCCGAGGAAGUGACCUUCAGGCAGAGACCUGAGUGUGAAGCAGCAGAGAGCCAGAAGAGCUGGAGAAGAGCGUGUCCAAAGACCCAGGAGGGAAGGAGUAUGGUGGCCACGUGGCUGGAACACAGUAAGCCAGAGGGAAGGCAUUUGGGUGAAGCUGGAGAAAUGAGCAGAAGGCAGAGGCCAGACCAGGCAGGCCACGCAGGCUGCGGCAAGGUAUUGGAUUUUAUUCCAGGAGCAACAGGAAUCCACAGAAUCUAGAGUUUCGAGUGGGGAAGUACGGUGGUUGGACUUGUGUUUUUUCGGUCUGGCUGCUGGCAGCCAGUGGCAUGCAGAGGCUGGAGCAGAGGCUGAGACGAGUUGGGGGGCGCCGGAGGCAGAACAGCGGGGAGGCUGGCUCUGGUCAGGUUGGAGACAGUGGACAUGGGUUCGGGUAACAUCUCGGUACUAGCUCAAUUAUUGCCUUUCUGAGGGCGGUAAGGAAAUCACACAGCCUCUCUAGAUGGCCAUUUCGUCUCCAUUUCUACAGAGGAGAAACAUUCUUUCUCCCCUCCCAGGGAUGUCUUGGAUGCCUUAAGAUCCAGGCCCUGAAGCAGUGUGUGCUAUGGAAACACAAGUUGUUAUUAACUGGCCCACAUCCUGUCUUGCUGAGAGGUAAUGAUUUCUGGACUCUCAGUGAGGUCCCCAGAGAGAGAAACCCUUUCUUCAAGCGGGUAAGAAUUGAUUGGGUGACCGGGCCUGCACCUUGUUGCAGGGGUGGGGAGGUGGAGUCAAUUACAUUCUCUAUUAGGACGUAAAUGGGUCUCCUUUCAGCUUUAAUCCUCCCUGGCUUUAUCUCUGUUGCCAACGUUGUCAUGCCAAUGAUUUUGACACAUAAUAUUAAACUCUAAAGUGACAUUAAAAUCGGACUAUAAAAUACCUGUUGCCUGGCUCCGCUAAUGGGCCUUCUUUUUAAGUGUAGGAACGGGACACAUUGGUCCCAGUUUUAGAGACCCAAGUGUAAACAAUCAUUAACUCCUUUUAUCCUUUUGAUUACUUGGGGGUAAGAGAAACUUUCAGGUACUUUCCUCGCAUCUUAUUUGUCAAUAUUUAACAAAGAGCAUCUGUGCACCCCUCUGUUUCUCCUCCCUAGGACCCGACAUUGCCUAGCAUACACUAAAUGUUAUCUGACGGUGGCUUCAUGGGGCAGUAGAGAGCUUAGGACUGGGUUUGAAUUCCAAUGUCACCAGUUCUAAGCUGGGUAACAAAGGACAAGUCACUUAACCUUGCUAAGCCUCCAAUUCCUCAUUUGUGUAAAGGAAAUAAUGAUAACCAAUUUCAGAGGGUUCUUGAGAGAAUUAUAGAAAGUAAUAUAUGUAAAGCAUCUAGAAUAGUGCCUGACACAUAGAAGGCACAUCAUUUAAUUCCUGUCCCUGGAAUUAAAUAUCGAAAGAUAUGAUAAGGGUCACUCACCAGUUACUCAAGCACCUGGGGCUGAGCUUUUCAAGUACCGAAAAGAUCUCCUUCUGAGCUAGAAAAUUUUUUCUGGUCACCAGGGUCUCAAGAGGUUUGGAAGAUCCCACCCACCACUGACCAAAGAUCUGGCCCUAGUCUAUCUCCCUCAAACCUAAAAACUCAGGUUGGGCUGACCAGUUUUAGAAGUUAGCACCAAAGCCAGGAAGACACCUAGUGCUUUACACAUUGGGUUGCAAUCAAGUUGAGGCAGCUUAUUGCUGAUCCAAAAUCCCAUGGCAGAAAUCCAGUUAGGUUCUAUUUUAAGUGGACGGGGCCAUUUAACCCUUAUCCACCGUAUCCACCCCUCUCUAUUUCCCCCUGUUCUUUACCCCUCACCAACGCCUGUCAGUCACUGUAAGCUUGGAUCAGUAAGAGUGGGCUGAGGUGGGCGUUAUGUCCAACAGUCCUGUGGGAAGCUGCUCCAACCUAACCCUUGGCUGCUUGGCUCCCUGGUUUCCAUCCUCCCCAGCCCAGCACAGGGGAGGGGACUAUAGGGGGCACUCACGC
Herpailurus yagouaroundi (jaguarundi) is the source of this 2394-nucleotide long non-coding RNA. RefSeq lists it as uncharacterized. The transcript has 3 exons. The record is from RefSeq and is a predicted model, not a curated record. NCBI's taxonomy places the organism in Eukaryota, Metazoa, Chordata, Mammalia, Carnivora, Felidae.